UACGAAGGGGGCGAGCGUUGUUCGGAAUUACUGGGCGUAAAGGGCGCGUAGGCGGCCGAUCAAGUCAGAUGUGAAAGUCUUGGGCUUAACCUGGGGACUGCAUUUGAUACUGAUUGGCUUGAAUUCGGGAGAGGAUAGCGGAAUUCCCAGUGUAGAGGUGAAAUUCGUAGAUAUUGGGAAGAACACCGGUGGCGAAGGCGGCUAUCUGGACCGACAUUGACGCUGAGGCGCGAAAGCGUGGGGAGCAAACAGG
This 253-nucleotide ribosomal RNA is filed under the name uncultured bacterium. RNAcentral describes it as "partial 16S ribosomal RNA". It matches the Rfam family "Bacterial small subunit ribosomal RNA", at positions 524 to 776 of the family's 1533-position model. The record is from RNAcentral.